UUAACUGAAAUUUGUAUGCAGUUGAAACAGCGCCCCUAGCGGCAAACGUAGGCAAACGUUCCAACUCCAUACAAAUUUAAGUUA
This 84-nucleotide microRNA precursor is filed under the name Bombyx mori (domestic silkworm). Its description in RNAcentral is "mir-2807 microRNA precursor family". It matches the Rfam family "mir-2807 microRNA precursor family". The record is from Rfam by way of RNAcentral. Lineage: Eukaryota; Metazoa; Arthropoda; Insecta; Lepidoptera; Bombycidae.